This 649-nucleotide long non-coding RNA is filed under the name Lathyrus oleraceus (garden pea). RNAcentral describes it as "Pisum sativum (pea) long non-coding RNA (PSAT_LNC018771)". Lineage: Eukaryota; Viridiplantae; Streptophyta; Magnoliopsida; Fabales; Fabaceae. The record is from RNAcentral.
GCACACUUCAAAGGUGGCUCUCUUGGAAGCUCCUUCUACAAAUCCAACAUCUCAAAACAAGCAUAAUUUGGUAGCCUAUUUUUAUGUUAUCUUGCUCUAUUCAUUUCUAUUCUAUCACAUAAUUACAUCGAUAUUUUGCAUUUUUGUUAUAUAUUCAGUUUAAACAGAUCCCAACUACUGAUGUAACUUUGUCUGAAACAAGCUUUAUGAAUACACCAUCUAAAAGGGAUGUUGUCGCCAUAGCAUAUAAUGAUUUGUAUAUAACCAUGUAUCUCACACCAUAAAAUCCGGCGACAACAGUGAAACACAUGAAUAAGGAGUGAUAUAAAUGAGUCACUUGGAACAUUGAGAACCUCUAUUUGGAACAUUGAUACGUCACCUAUAUAUCUUGUCUUUCAAGUUUUUUUGUAAUGAUCCUUAACAUUGAUAACCUCUAUUAUGUUUGCAUACCAUUUCCCUACCGUGUUUAGUUAUUAUUUAAGCUUUCAAAACAAACAUUUACAUUUAUCCACAACUCCAAUUUAUGUUUAAUAGUGAAGUUUGUGAACCACCUCAUGGUCUUUUUAAUUAUCAGUCACAAUGUUAUUGACAUCAAUCUUUGUGGUGUGAGAUGCAUGAACAAAUAUCCUAAAAAGGUCACUCAUGAACA